UUUAAAACGUUGAAGAGGAUCAGUAGUUAUUCAUACUUUCUUUACAGAGAGCCGUUCGUGCUGAGAGACGGUGAGAAAGCGAAUAAUGAACUCCCCUCGGAGUGUGAUAGUGAAUGUAUAUCAAGUAGCUAUCGCCGGUCGGAUUAUCAUCUGACCGUUACUAACAGGCGCUUUUAGCGCAAUGAGCCGGUUGCUAUUUAGAACCGGGAAAUUAGGGUGGUACCGCGGAAUAACCUUUUCGCCCCUUUG
This 249-nucleotide non-coding RNA is filed under the name Geomicrobium sp. Its description in RNAcentral is "T-box sequence". It matches the Rfam family "T-box leader". Rfam says of the family: Uncharged tRNA acts as the effector for transcription antitermination of genes in the T-box leader family. T-boxes are found upstream of many aminoacyl-tRNA synthetase genes and some amino acid biosynthetic genes usually in Gram-positive bacteria. The anticodon of a specific tRNA base pairs to a specifier sequence within the T-box motif, and the NCCA acceptor tail of the tRNA base pairs to a conserved bulge in the T-box antiterminator hairpin. The record is from RNAcentral. Lineage: Bacteria; Bacillati; Bacillota; Bacilli; Caryophanales.